CCAGCUUCACGGGCUUUAUGAUGAAGUCCUCGGCACCUUCUUCGUAGCAACUGUUGAAACGAUCAUCCAUUCACACGGUUAGAAGGAGGUCGUCUUUAACUUGUUUACGCAAAUUCAACCAACCUGUUUAUCCUUUGUUCUACGUUUUCAGACGACAUGAUCACAACCGGGAUCUCCUUGAGUGAAGAAACACCCUGCCAUCAAACCAGUGGACCCGCAAAUCGGUAAACCUCCUUUUGGAAAAAGAAAAAAAAGCGAUUUUUUUCACUCACCUUUACUCUCUUCAGAAGAUCAUAGCCUGUCAUAUGAGGCAUACAGUAAUCCGUGAUGAUCAUGCUGAUUUGAAUGCCCUGCGACGACCACAAAACCGUAAGCCUCUGAAAAAUCUUUACUUGGCUGUGAAGAAAACUAGCCUUACUGCUAAUUUAAUUGUUUUUUCUCUCUUACCUCGGAAGGAGCUGCUGCUGGAGAAGCCUGUCCGUCAACAAUGCCCAGAAUUUCCAGCGCUCGCAAUGCGCUGUCCACGGCCGUGACUGCAAGAAGAGCAAACAAGCAAGCGAUUUCAAUCGAGAAAUUCAUCGCCCAGAUUCGAAGACUAUCUUUCUUACCUUUGAACGAGGAAGAGG
RNAcentral lists this long non-coding RNA (626 nucleotides) under Selaginella moellendorffii. Its description in RNAcentral is "long non-coding RNA (SMOE_LNC001408)". Lineage: Eukaryota; Viridiplantae; Streptophyta; Lycopodiopsida; Selaginellales; Selaginellaceae. The record is from RNAcentral.